UAUCCGGACUAUUACGAUCGUAUGUGAGGAUAAUGGUAUACACAAACCAAUAUAAAGAUAAGUCAGAAUGUCUUAACGUCAAUUGAAAAGCUAAUCACAAUAAUGGCGAAGGCACUCUUAAUUAGCGUAUUGUUCAUUGUUUACUUUGUCAACUCCAUAAACUGUGCACACAAUAGAACAAAACGUGACGGUGAAGAGGCAGUGUUAGAAAAAGACGGCUCCAACGCAGAACCGAAUGAAAAUGCAACAAACAAUGAGGGGAUUGAAAAAUUCGAUGGCUUCAAAGAUUAUGAUCCCUUCCAAGUGUUUUACAAUGUUCUGAAAGACAUUUUUGAUCCUUGAUAUGUAUCGAUUAAGUAAUUAUUACAGCUGUUAUAAAAGAAUUGAAUAAAAAAAAUUAAAGUCAAUCUUCAAACAUU
Molecule: long non-coding RNA, 419 nt
Organism: Papilio xuthus (Asian swallowtail)
Lineage: Eukaryota; Metazoa; Arthropoda; Insecta; Lepidoptera; Papilionidae
Exons: 2
Source: RefSeq, a predicted model, not a curated record